RNAcentral lists this ribosomal RNA (465 nucleotides) under Vreelandella stevensii. RNAcentral's name for it is "partial 16S ribosomal RNA". It matches the Rfam family "Bacterial small subunit ribosomal RNA", at positions 338 to 795 of the family's 1533-position model. Lineage: Bacteria; Pseudomonadati; Pseudomonadota; Gammaproteobacteria; Oceanospirillales; Halomonadaceae. The record is from RNAcentral.
CCUACGGGGGGCUGCAGUGGGGAAUAUUGGACAAUGGGCGAAAGCCUGAUCCAGCCAUGCCGCGUGUGUGAAGAAGGCCUUCGGGGUGUAAAGCACUUUCAGUGGGGAAGAAAGCCUUGGGGCUAAUACCCUCGAGGAAGGACAUCACCCACAGAAGAAGCACCGGCUAACUCCGUGCCAGCAGCCGCGGUAAUACGGAGGGUGCGAGCGUUAAUCGGAAUUACUGGGCGUAAAGCGCGCGUAGGCGGUCUGAUAAGCCGGUUGUGAAAGCCCCGGGCUCAACCUGGGAACGGCAUCCGGAACUGUCAGGCUAGAGUGCAGGAGAGGAAGGUAGAAUUCCCGGUGUAGCGGUGAAAUGCGUAGAGAUCGGGAGGAAUACCAGUGGCGAAGGCGGUCUUCUGGACUGACACUGACGCUGAGGUGCGAAAGCGUGGGUAGCAAACAGGAUUAGAUACCCUGGUAGUC